AACGCUAGCUACAGGCUUAACACAUGCAAGUCGAGGGGCAGCAUGGUCUUAGCUUGCUAAGGCUGAUGGCGACCGGCGCACGGGUGAGUAACACGUAUCCAACCUGCCGUCUACUCUUGGCCAGCCUUCUGAAAGGAAGAUUAAUCCAGGAUGGGAUCAUGAGUUCACAUGUCCGCAUGAUUAAAGGUAUUUUCCGGUAGACGAUGGGGAUGCGUUCCAUUAGAUAGUAGGCGGGGUAACGGCCCACCUAGUCAACGAUGGAUAGGGGUUCUGAGAGGAAGGUCCCCCACAUUGGAACUGAGACACGGUCCAAACUCCUACGGGAGGCAGCAGUGAGGAAUAUUGGUCGAUGGGCGAUGGCCUGAACCAGCCAAGUAGCGUGAAGGAUGACUGCCCUAUGGGUUGUAAACUUCUUUUAUAAAGGAAUAAAGUCGGGUAUGCAUACCCGUUUGCAUGUACUUUAUGAAUAAGGAUAGGCUAACUCCGUGCCAGCAGCCGCGGUAAUACGGAGGAUCCGAGCGUUAUCCGGAUUUAUUGGGUUUAAAGGGAGCGUAGAUGGAUGUUUAAGUCAGUUGUGAAAGUUUGCGGCUCAACCGUAAAAUUGCAGUUGAUACUGGAUGUCUUGAGUGCAGUUGAGGCAGGCGGAAUUCGUGGUGUAGCGGUGAAAUGCUUAGAUAUCACGAAGAACUCCGAUUG
This 696-nucleotide ribosomal RNA is filed under the name uncultured bacterium. Its description in RNAcentral is "bacterial SSU rRNA". It matches the Rfam family "Bacterial small subunit ribosomal RNA", at positions 32 to 715 of the family's 1533-position model. The record is from RNAcentral.